AUGUUUUAUUUAUUUAUUUGUUUGUUUGUUUUGUUUAUACAUGCACUGGGUACAGUCAGAAGCACGGGAGGGUGAGAGAAUUCACCAGAGCCAGAGCGGGGAGCAGAGCAGGCAGAAGGACCGAAGUACACAGCUGAGGGGAGCAGCGGGCGGCAGGAGAGGUCUGCGCACCAUGUGGGACCCUCCUCCAGUGGCCGGGGAGCAGCCGGGGAUCGAACCGGCGCCGCAGAGGCCGCGGGCAGCUUCGCAACCCAGCGCUCAACCGCUGCGCCACCGGGGAGGCCCCAAUACUGGGUUCCAGAGACCUCCAAAGAAGGUGAGGAAGCUUGCCUCCAUUGGCAGGACUGGACAACCUGGCCAACGAAAAGUCCCUGGUACCCUCGAGAAGAGGAAAGCCCGGGUGGAGUCUGACGAGACCAACUUUGUUCCUGUAGCCUAGAUGGACCGGAUGUCAACAGUUCGCUCUGAUCCUGUAUGAUGCAACAAAGCCAGCUAAAAUUGCUGCUUAGUUAUUCUGCCCUGUGAUUUUAUGCAAAAAUAGGUACUAUGGUUGAAAAGUACAUUUAGUUUGCAAACUUUUGCUAUGCUGUUCAAAAUUUGGGAUCAAAGUUGAGAGAAUUUGUUUUUACAUAAGUUGAGCCAUUUUAAGAUUGUUUUUUUCCUGUGAUUUUGAUAUAUUUGCUGUCUUGUUCUGGCUAAUGCCUCCAGAUUUUUUUUUUUUUUUUGGCUUGGACCGAAGAAUGGAGGACUUAUUCCAGGAAUGGAGGACUUUUGCUUUCCACAGUGGACAAUACCCGGAGGGACUGGUUUUCUUUCACACUGGAACCCUGGAAAAUUUUCAUCUGAGAUUACAUCCCAGCAUCCAUAUAUUUGAUAUUCAUCACCAUGGAAAUGGUUGCAAAAAGUGAAAGGGGGGAAUUGUUAGGGGGAAAGGAUGUCCUGAGCUAAUUCCUUACAGGCUUUGUGGACUCCACCCCCACCCCAGUCCAAAGUCAUCAGGACAUUGGGAAAGACAAAUCCCAUCACCACAAAGAGAAGGUUGCUGGGACCUGAGGGUGGAGUUAAGCAGCCAGGUUAGGUACAAAAACCAAACACAUGGGCCUUGGGGUCUCUCUCUCACUCGCCUCCUGGCUUCACGGCUGGUGGCUCGCGGCCAGCUCUCAGAGUGCCAUUUGGGAUUCCAGAUCGGCGGAUCGGAUAGGAUGCAUUUAAAAUUUUAACUCCCACUUUUCUCCCUGAGUUGUACAUUUCCUCAUUUGCCCUUCCCUUGUAAAUAAACCUUUUAUUAACCUUUUGUGUGUGCCUGCAGUAGAGUAUUGAGAAAUCCUUUUAAGCAUGUGGGUGAGGACCCACAGUCAGACAACCCGUUUUGCCAGGGACCAGCCUCCAGCAAAAUGUCAUGUCAGGGGUUCCUGAAAGGAUGAGACGGUGUCGGCGAAAACGAAAGGGCUGAGGGGAAGGGAUGAGGUAGAAUGAGGAGACACUGCACUUGGUGAGGUGCUAGUAUCUUCUGCAGAGAGGCUCAGCAGGUUAUUUAUACAUUUUUAGCAAGCAGUGAGAUGACAUUAUCAUGUGCGUAGAAACAGCAGAAAAAAUCAGUGCAUCCCUCUUUCCAUAGACCUUUGGCCACCACGUGCUCUCAGCAAGAAGGCAACCUUCAAGAUUAAUAAAAAACUAAGCCUUACACUUAAACUCAUUGUUUCAGCUAGACAGUUACCUAAGAUAGUGGAUAGCCGCCAGCACAUCCCUAUCAGCUAAAGCCUAAGCAAGAAAAGACUUUUCUUAUUUGCAUGGCCUUCAGCAGGGGACUGGCUGCUACUCAGCUAUCAGAACAUUUUUUACUUAGAAACUCCUAACUCAAAUAGCUUCAUUUAAAAACUUUUUCAAGAAACUUCAAGGGAAGGCAAAAGAAGGACCUACUAUAAUUACUGUAUUGUAAUGCUUGUCAGGCAUGUUCAACAAACCAUCUCCCAUUGUCAAGUGGGCCAAACUGCCCAACAACUAAUUUCUAAACAGACAAUUUUCCGUGCCAUUUACUGACAGUAUGCUGAUUGCUGAUACAUAUAAUUUAUUGUCUAAUAUACUUUGUGACAAAUUUUUUUCUUUCUAUGUCCAAGAACAAAAAGCAAAGGGAUGCCAGAUCUUCAGCCCCACAGUAUGAGGCCCUUUCUCUUUGCUGCUUGUCAGUAUCCUACCUGGCUGGGGCAACAAGACCCCCUACAGCACCGUUUUGUAUCUGGGCUGCCCUGUAACUCUUCUAGGCCCUGCUACAUUUCCACCCACGGUCUUGGGUUUGGCAGCUGAGGACUGAAGAGGCCCGGACUCAUCGACUCCGAUAACCUUCGAGGAGCCCAGGGUAACGGUCAAGGUAGCAGAUCCUUGGGACCAACGUUGGGUACAGAGAGUCCAAGCUGCAGUGUAUUUCUACUGGCUGGCAUUCCUACCCAGUGGCACAUUGUUCCGUCUCAAGGGAAUAUGUCCUGACACAAAAUGCCACAGUCCAAGUCUCCCAGGACAUCCUCCAUUCAGAGCAAGUCUUAUAAAAUCAGCUAACAUCAUCAGAAAAUACCGAGACACCCUCAACCUGGAUUCAUAUAAUCCAAAAUGUUAUAACCUUCCUAAAUAACUCUUUUGGGACUAAUACCUCCUCUUGUUUCCUCUGCACUUCCCUUCAGAGGCCUCUACUGGCGGCAGCUCCAAUUAAUCUCAGUACCACUACAGCCAAGAUAAUGGGACGCUGCUUGCCAGACUCCCCAACUCUCAGUCCCCCUAUGGGACUCCAAUCACAGCUACUCCUGCCAGCAAACUGACGCCCUUGUCUGCUUUCAUUCCUGUACUUCUAGCAUUUCGGUUAAAGGAUAGAUACCUCCUUAGAAAAAACCUGUCUUUAGCCAAUAGCAAAGAUAGCUCCCCUCCCUGGCACAGGCCACUUUCCAAAACCAGGGGGACCUGUGAACAGCUGAUAAGGGGGCACCUGCCUGUUCCUCAGGAAAGAAUGUUGCUACUGUAUCAGUGAGUCAGGAAUUGUAGAACAAAAUGUGGAAGCCUUCAUGAAACUACGCAAAGACGUGGAAAGGGAAAGCGGGGUCUCCAACUCUCCGCUGACAUGGUUUCAAAAUCCUGUAGUGUCAUGGCUCUUCCCACUCUUGGGGCCAAUAACCUUGUUCUUUUUGCUUCUUGCCUCUAAAAAUUCAUACAGGCUUGCAUUCGGGAAAUGUCUCCUACCAACUUUAACCAAGUCUUCCACCCAUAUUCUCGCAUCCCUGCAGAAGACCCUCAUAACCAGGCCUGAGUCACCUCCUUGGUCUUUACCCCCUUCCAGCAGGAAGUAGCCAAAGAAAGAAACUUUGCCCUUUUUCCUAUCAACAAAAGGCUGGUAUGAAAGGUCCAUGCCGGAGGCGGGAAUGCAAAAACCCACCAGGAAGCCCACCUGGGAACAGGACUGUGGAAGCCUGCCUAGAGGAUUCAGACAAUGAACUUCUCCCCCACCCCCCCUCGCCCUACAAAUCUUUUCUGUGCCCUACAAACCCAGUCUCCCACCUGACCUCUCCUCACCCUAUAAAAGCCUGCUUCCCCCUGACAACUUAAGCAGCUUCAUGGACCACCCCCCCCCUUGGGUCCCUGAGAUCCACCUGGGGCACAAUAAAUUUUCCCUUCC
Long non-coding RNA from Talpa occidentalis (Iberian mole), 3658 nucleotides. RefSeq lists it as uncharacterized. Lineage: Eukaryota; Metazoa; Chordata; Mammalia; Eulipotyphla; Talpidae. The transcript has 3 exons. The record is from RefSeq and is a predicted model, not a curated record.